GCCUGGGUGGCUCAGUGGUUGAGCAUCUGUCUUCAGCUCAGGGUAUGAACUCCGGGUCCUGGGAUCGAGUCCCACAUCAGGCU
This 83-nucleotide transfer RNA is filed under the name Canis lupus familiaris (dog). It matches the Rfam family "tRNA". From Rfam's summary of the family: Transfer RNA (tRNA) molecules are approximately 80 nucleotides in length. Lineage: Eukaryota; Metazoa; Chordata; Mammalia; Carnivora; Canidae. RNAcentral also lists the same sequence under 1 other name. The record is from Rfam by way of RNAcentral.